GUGGGGAAUAUUGGGCAAUGGGCGAAAGCCUGACCCAGCAACGCCGCGUGAAGGAAGAAGGUCUUCGGAUCGUAAACUUCUAUCCUUGGUGAAGAUAAUGACGGUAGCCAAGAAGGAAGCCCCGGCUAACUACGUGCCAGCAGCCGCGGUAAUACGUAGGGGGCAAGCGUUGUCCGGCAUGAUUGGGCGUAAAGGGCGCGUAGGCGGCCUGGUAAGUCUGGAGUGAAAGUCCUGCUUUUAAGGUGGGAAUUGCUUUGGAUACAGUCGAGCUUGAGUGCAGGAGAGGUAAGUGUAAUUCCCGGUGUAGCGGUGAAAUGCGUAGAGAUCGGGAGGAACACCAGUGGCGAAGGCGACUUACUGGACUGUAACUGACGCUGAGGCGCGAAAGUGUGGGGAGCAAACAGGAUUAGAUACCCUUGUAGUCC
Molecule: ribosomal RNA, 425 nt
Filed under: uncultured bacterium
Lineage: Bacteria
Description: partial 16S ribosomal RNA
Rfam family: Bacterial small subunit ribosomal RNA
Source: RNAcentral